UGUCUGCUACAAACAUGCAGCUUUUGUCUUCUACAGAUGUUAGUGUGGAUAGUGAUGUUUUUAUCAGCUGUGUGGACUCUCAUUCUGACGGCACCCAUUCACUGAAGUGCAUCCAUUGAUGAAACACUGAUGCAAUCCUACAUUUCUACAAAUCUGAUGAAUAAACACAGGCCAUCGAGGAGAGGAUGUCAUUCGGCUCGUUUUUCUGGGGCAUCUUCUGGCUGCUGGUGCUGCUGUUUCUCGGCUGGCCCUUGAGCAUUAUGCUGGGGGGUCUGUAUGGCCUCAUCGCCCCUCUCACCGUCUGCCUGGGUCUGGAUCGGCUGGCCGACCUGCUGAUGGAGGGGGCCAAUCUGGGCAGAAAGUGUGCCCAGAACAUGAAGCAUGGCACAGCACUGUGCUGAGACCAACAGCUAAGAAUGCUCAGCCUCCACGUCUCUUCACUUCAGCUGUAUUAAUAGUCAACAUGAACUGUUCUUGACAGUUUACUGUGCCUUUGAUUUUCUGUGACUACAACAUAAUGUUUUCUUAAAGCCUUAGUAUCGCUCGCUCGCUUCCUCUCUGUAUCUCUUUCUCUUAGGCUGUUUGACUAUGAAAAAUGUAAAUUUUCUGGUACUGGUGUCUUGAGUUCACAAUGUUGAAACACAUGAGUAUUACAAGAAGAGUUUGUUAAAAUGCAAGAUGCAGUUCUUCAAAACCAUCCAUCGAGUCUCCACACAGGCCACAAAACAGUCCUUUUCAGGACAAGAAAGUGCAGAAGUAAACGUUUGUGUCAGUGCAUUAUUGUGCAUUUAUUAUUUUUGAAUCGAUAUGGCAAUAAUAUGAUUGAAUGUAAAAUAGUUAUUUAGAACUGAAACAUUCCCAUUAUCACAGAUUAAUGAAGAAACAGAUUUUCAGCUCCAUGUACUGCAGAAUAAUACUAAAACUGAUUUGUUACUUGAAAUAAAAUUAUUUUAUAAUUA
Long non-coding RNA from Carassius auratus (goldfish), 959 nucleotides. RefSeq lists it as uncharacterized. The transcript is spliced from 2 exons. NCBI's taxonomy places the organism in Eukaryota, Metazoa, Chordata, Actinopteri, Cypriniformes, Cyprinidae. The record is from RefSeq and is a predicted model, not a curated record.